This 497-nucleotide ribosomal RNA is filed under the name uncultured bacterium. RNAcentral describes it as "partial 16S ribosomal RNA". It matches the Rfam family "Bacterial small subunit ribosomal RNA", at positions 28 to 507 of the family's 1533-position model. The record is from RNAcentral.
GAUGAACGCUGGCGGCGUGCCUAAUACAUGCAAGUCGAGCGAACGGACGAGAAGCUUGCUUCUCUGAUGUUAGCGGCGGACGGGUGAGUAACACGUGGAUAACCUACCUAUAAGACUGGGAUAACUUCGGGAAACCGUAGCUAAUACCGGAUAAUAUUUUGAACCGCAUGGUUCAAAAGUGAAAGACGGUCUUGCUGUCACUUAUAGAUGGAUCCGCGCCGCAUUAGCUAGUUGGUAAGGUAACGGCUUACCAAGGCAACGAUGCAUAGCCGACCUGAGAGGGUGAUCGGCCACACUGGAACUGAGACGCGGUCCAGACUCCUACGGGAGGCAGCAGUAGGGAAUCUUCCGCAAUGGGCGAAAGCCUGACGGAGCAACGCCGCGUGAGUGAUGAAGGUCUUCGGAUCGUAAAACUCUGUUAUUAGGGAAGAACAUAUGUGUAAGUAACUGUGCACAUCUUGACGGUACCUAAUCAGAAAGCCACGGCUAACUACGUG